Molecule: non-coding RNA, 94 nt
Organism: Mycena rebaudengoi
Lineage: Eukaryota; Fungi; Basidiomycota; Agaricomycetes; Agaricales; Mycenaceae
Source: the annotation of a GenBank genome assembly
GCCUUGGUGGAUCAAUUGGCAGAUCAUCCCUCAUCAAUGUUAGUCCACACUCAGAAUAUACGGGAAGCCGGAGGUUCGAAUCCUCCCUAAGGCA